GGCGUAGGCUAGCCCUUUAAGGCCCCCUACCUUCUUGGCUUCUUGCUUCAUUGUUAGUUGAAUCACGAUCUAUGGUUGAAUUGAAUCAUGAGGUUCUGAGAGAAAGAGUCGCCAUUUUUAGACCUUUCUAUUUUUGAGGUUUUGAAUUUUAAUGUUGGCUUAAUUAGCUGGAUUGCCACUUGAGGCAUUUCUUAGAAUGUGAUGGGUUCUAGUUGGUUUGGGUUGGCGGUUCGUGAGCUUGCUAUUAUUCUUGACUAAUUUUGAUGCUGAAAGACUUGGAAACGAUGCUGUCGACCACGUCGAGAAGCUGAGUAACAUUCUGCUUUUACAAUGGCACCUCUUAAUAAAAGGAACUUAAAAGCCAUCCAAUCUAGGGCUUCCAUCAAAUCGUGCAGGCUGCAUGCCAUGGAAGUCGCAUUUAACUUUGCUAUGAACAUCAUGAACACAUACACUAUUUGAAGCAUUUCGCCAUUUCCAAUGAUGCUGAAGAUUAAUUUUACUUCGGUUAUAGUUUCAUCAUUCAUUUUUACGUAGCAGUGGUGGUGCUGUCCAAUGUGGCGUGUUGUUGCAGCCUAUGGUGGUGAAAGAAAUCUGCAUCAAGUUGCUGUUCCUUGUGCAUCUAAGGUGCUGGUUUUGUGCUACAGAAGUGACAUCCAAUAUUGUUUGUAAUUGCUAUUUGUGUCUUUGCAGUUUACCUUUAUAUAUUGAGAAGGAACAAAAAAAAUAGUAAUACGGGGAGGUUUAUGU
Daphnia pulicaria is the source of this 747-nucleotide long non-coding RNA. RefSeq lists it as uncharacterized. The record is from RefSeq and is a predicted model, not a curated record. Lineage: Eukaryota; Metazoa; Arthropoda; Branchiopoda; Diplostraca; Daphniidae. The transcript has 4 exons.